CUUAAUAAUUUGUUAAUUCCUUCAGUGGAUAUUUAAUAAGUAACAGGUAUGUACCAAACUGCUUUUGGUAUUGGGGACAUGGUAGUGAUUAAGAGAGAGAAUCCCUGUUUUAGCUUCUGUUUUAGUUUAGGGGAGGGAGUGGUAUGUAGAAUAAGCAAUGAUUAAAAUAAGUAUGUUAUAUAGCAUAUUAAAAAGUAUGAAUUUUGUGCAAAAAAAAAAAAAAACUAGGAAGGAAAUAAUUAUUAAUGGAAGAGUUGCAAUUUAAAAUAGGGAGUCUGGGGAGACCUCACUGAGAAGGUGACCUUUGAAUAAACAUUAAAGAUGGUAAGAGAGGGAGCUGUGUAGAAAUCUGAUGGAAAAGCAUUCUGGAUAAAGCAAAACAAGAAAUAUAGAGACCAGAGGUGAGAUCACAUCUGUGUGGUUAGAGUGGAGUGGUGAGAGGAAAAGUAGUUGAGAUGAAGUCAAAUAAAUUAGGGAAUGGCAGAGUAUAUCUGGCCUUAUAGGCCUUUGUGAGGAUUGGUUUUUACAUCAAAUGUAAUAGAUGUAAAGGGUAGAAUAGUGAUAUGGUUCAGUUUGUUAGUUCUCUAGCUGUUGGUUUAGAAUAAAAGUGGGCUGUGCAGUAAAGGUAGAAGCAUUGGCCUUAGGAAGUGAUUGUAAUAAUACUGAGAAAUGAUGGUUUGGGAUCAGAAAUGGAGAUGGUGGGAAGUGGACAGAUUCUGGGUCUGAUUUGAAGCUGGGCAGUGCAUCUACUGAUGUAGCUGGAUGGGUGUGUAAGAGGUAGAAGAGUUAAAGAUAACUUCCACUGUUUUCAAUUUGAGCAGCCUGCAGGAGGGAGUUGCCAUUAGUGAGGUAAGAAAGGCUUUAAGGGGAAUAGGUCAGAGUGGGGGAGAUAGGAGCUCAUCUGUAACUGAUACUUUGAUGUCCGUUAGACAUUUAAGUAGCAAUAUUGAGUGGGCAGCUAGAUAAAUAAGCAGGAUAGUAGUCUACACUAGAGAUAAAGAAUUUGAGGUAUAGGUACUAUUUAAAGCCAUAAAUUGGAUACGAUUAUCUAGGAAGUUUAGAUUGAGAAGGGAAGAAACUGGAGUACUGAAUUCUGGAGUCCUUUAAUGAUAAAAUAUUAGGAAGAUAAGGAGUAACCAGCAGAGGGGACUCAAAGGAACUGCUAGAGAGGCAGGAAAAUUAGAUGAGUGUGAUAUUCUAGAAGGCAAGGGGGAGUGUUUUAAGAAAAGGGAGUUGUUGGCUAUGUGUUUUGCAGUGGUGAGUUUUAUAGAAUGUGGAGGUUAUUAGUUAACUCUGGAAACAAUUUCUGUUUAGUGGUGAUGUUAAAGAUGUGCUUUAAGUGGAAGUGAAAGAAAGGGAGAAGGAAUUGGAGGCAGUAGAUAUAGAUAGUUCUUUUGAGAUUUGCUGCAGAAAGACUCAAAGAAAUGGAGCAGUGAUUGGAGAGGGGAAUUGAGGAAGAGGAAGGAAUUAGGGAAAAUAAAAGAUGUAAGAUGUGAAUCAGUAUAAUUGUAAGCUCUGGAAAUGACAAUAUACAAAGGGAGAUUUUUGUUGAGCUGCAAGGAAACAAUAAUUGGCUGGAGGUGCCCUUUAAGAGUAGAAAGAGAGAAAAUAUAACAGAUAGUGGAAGAAUACAUUUGUUUGUUCUUUCAUUAUCUAGUACUUACUCUUAUGGGUACAGUUUUGGAAGCCUGGAACAUCUAAUGGGACAUUCUAGGUGUUGAUGUUGUUAGUAACAUAGGCAGUUCAUCUGUGGUAACAGGAAAGAUGUUGGUAAGUGGGAGCUUCUGGAAAUUUUCUUCUAAAAAAGCAGAAGCAUGGGCCGUAGCUAUGAGGGAAGAGCUAUUAGAUGUUUGAAGAGAGGAGAAGAUUUAAAAUAGUCCUAGGAAAGUAGAAGAGGGAAUGUAUUAGAACAAUGUUGUAUGGGUGCUGGGCAUUAUUGACAGUUACUGUUGAUGAUGCAUAGAGCAGGCAAAGCAUUUUUCAUAAACUAAAUUAUGAUUUAGCCUAGUCAUUAUAGUGAAGUUAAAUAGGUACCAAGGGAAUUGAGAAUGUAUGCAUGGGAAUAAUUUUGAUGAAUGGUUUGGAAAUAGGAUGGAAAUGAGUAGAUGAAGACUAUGAGAGGUAGUGAAAGAGUGAUAGGAUGAAUGGAUUUUCUGGUGUUGGAUUGAAAGAUUUUUGGUGCCUAGGAAUAGAGGUAAUGAGCUAGAGAGAAGUGGUAGUCAGUGACUAGGAUGUUUGGAAUUAAGAUCUUAGAGAAGUUGUAGUUAUUGGUGAUAAAGGGAAAUAAUACUAGAGAUAGGAAGGAAAAAAAGAUCCUGGGGGAAUAGAACUUAAAGAAUGGAGGAGUUAGGGUGUAUGGACAUAGAAAUUGCUAAAUAUUAAUAUUGUUGGAAAGACUAACAGUGAUCCAGGAGAAAUUUCUCAAAUCCUUGAGAAAUGAGAGCAAGCAGUAUAACGAUUAACAGAUAACUAUACCAAAAAGAGUGUUAAGUGGUAGAGUCUGAUGGCUUUCGAUUUAGUCUGUAUUGAAGGAGAAUGCAGGGAGAAUGGUCUGGCAUUAGCAACGAAGAGCAAAGAAUACAUCUGUCUUGCUUCUGGUCUAAUGAUAGGAAGAAAAUGGAAAAAAAAAAUCAGUCAAUAUUUUCACUAGCUAUAGGGAGCAAUGUAAUUAGGGGAUUUAGAAGUUGAAAGGAAUGUUCAGGAAAAUGGUUGAGGUUUUGUUAUUGGGUUCUACAGAGUACAGUGAAAGGGUUACAGGAUCUGAGAGGAAAUGUUAGAUGAGGACAGAAUAGGAUGUAUGUGGAACCAUAUGAAAAUCAGAGUAUGGGAAAUGAGGGGUGACUGAGGUGUCUGGGACUGUGGUACAGAAGGAUGAAAAGGCCCAGUAAGAUUGAUGAGUUGUGGUUGUUUAAGGACAGUUAGUGUGGUGAUGCUGGGUUGCGGAAUGCUGAGGUGGCUAACAAGGACCCUAUCUCCAUUCCAUAGAGGGAGACUGUAGGAAUAGGAAUCUGCUUAUUAUUUAGUACCUGGCAGCUUGUUGACUACUAGGUUUGCUUUAGAGGAGCCAGUUAUAUGAGGAAGGUUUUACUCUGUAGUGCUGCAUCUACACUUGCUAGAUUUGUUC
RNAcentral lists this long non-coding RNA (3124 nucleotides) under Marmota monax (woodchuck). The record is from RNAcentral. Lineage: Eukaryota; Metazoa; Chordata; Mammalia; Rodentia; Sciuridae.